GGAGCUCCCCUGAGCCAUCUCCUUGUGUGCCCCAAACCUCACCUGGUGGAGGUGGGAGUUGUCAGCCUGCAGCAGGGAGGCUGGGAACCUUCCCCAGACCCAGGCUGCAUUGCUGAUUACAGUGGCAAAGGAACCUUCCUUCUCCUCCUCCUUCUUUCCCUCUUUUUCUUAAUUUAUUUUCCCUUCUUUUCCUUUUUCCAGGGUGCCAGAGGCCCUGAUGGACCAGUAGGCGAGCCGGGGUCACGAGGUGCCAAGGUGAGUGCCAGCUUGGCUGAGAUUGCUCUUAGCAACAUUAUGAAACACCAUGGACAGACCAAAGUCCCAUCCUCCUCCAGAAACUGGGGUUGUCCAAUGGCUCCAUGAGAACCAGCCAGCAGGAAUGAGUCCUCCACGCAGCCAGAGCAAAAUCUUCCUCCAAAGCAGCAUUUGCUCAAAAGGAUGUAGGUCAUGCAGCCCGUUGCCCAAAUUCCCCACAGGUUGUGGUGUUCCUCAGGGCAGGAUGCUGGGCACCUGGCCUUUCAAAAGCUGCAGGGAAUUGGUGUGGGUAUCUGAUGCAGAAAAACACAAGAGCAGGUGGGGUGAGGCAAAGAGCUUCACCAAUACAGCGUGUGUUGUCUUUUUGCCUUGCAGGGCCGUCCGGGGGAGCCAGGCAAGCUGGGGCCAGAAGGGCUGCAGGGGAAGAUGGGCGAGACUGGGGAGACAGGAUCACGUGGCUUCCCAGGUAUCCAAGGGCCUUCAGGACCUCCAGGAGCAAAAGGGGCACCAGGCGACCCGGCAAGUGUCUCACCAUUCUCUCUCCACCUGUCUCUCCAUGCACAUACACUCUUCAUUUCUUUCUCUGUCUGUUUUUCCCUACUACUAAUUCCCAUCUCCAUCCUGGCCAGUUCCAGUGUGGUCAGAGAUGUGAAAGACGUGACUUGAGUUCUAGGAGGCCUGAGGAAAGUUAAGGUCAGACCCCUAGAAAGGAAAAGGGGACUGUGGAUCAACCAGGGACAGUGUGGGAUACAGCCUGGGCUGGAUUUUGGAGGGGAAGGGAGGAAAGAAAUGCAAGGUUGGGUCUGGACGGGGUCAGAUGUAAUGAGAAGAGUUGGGCUGGGCUGAGGUGGGAACAGGAGGGAGUCUGACGGUGUCAAAACUGAGCCUGCAGCUUUGAGGGAGGCACUGGGAGAUGAAAUGUGCAGGCAGACCUGCAGGAGAGCCAGCAGGACCACUGAAACAAGGUGAGGGACCUUCUGCUGUCUGUGUCUGCGGGACUUUCCUAGACUGAAGGGAGAGGAUUAAGCAGAUACUUCCAGGUUACCAUCAGCGGUUGUUCUAGGUUGGAGCCAGAAAGGCGAAGGGCCUUCUGAGCUGUUGUUUGCCUGUUUUGAUGCCUCAGAGCACCCAUUACCGGUCCCUCCGUCUUGCUGGCCAUCUCUGGCACACUGCAUAGCUCUGCUGCGAGGUGGGAGGGAACCAGUGUUUUAUCUUACAGGCUGCAGAAAUGGUGGCCCUUCAGAAGGGAAAACAGUUGCAUGAAAAGAGCCUUGUGUCUCUGUUUUCCAGGGUCCACAAGGACCACAGGGGCCGCCUGGGCCUUUGGGAGAAAUCGGGCAUAAGGUAGGUCUGGUCUUUGCUCCUAUUUAUUUUCCCUUUACAUCGAGAGUGGCAGGACUGAGGGAGAAUCAAGGGUGCCGAGGUGAAACCUUUCACACCCAGGGACAUGAGCAGGAAGGAUUUCCCUCAAGUCUGAAUACCGACUUCCAAAGAAAACAGUGAGAGACAGAAAUCCGAGCAUCAUCUUCAUCUCAGGGCAUGGGCACCCCGCUGGUGGGUGGGCAGCCCCAUCUCCACAACAAGAGAAACAUUGCAAAGCUGGCCACCCCCCAGCACGCACACCUCAGGCGUGGCUCCACCACCACUCCAGGGACCACCUCUGUACCAGGGAGCAGAGUCAGAAACAAAAUAGAGCCUUCAAAAUAAAAACUGGUCUUUUCUGCCUCCCCCACUGGUCCCAUUUCUGACCAGGCACAGUUUUGUCAGCCAGCCUGGAUUGCUGCAGCACUCCCAUCAGAAGUCUGCAGCCAGUGGAAGGAGCUCAGAGAAACGCCUGCGCUGCUGACGGUGCUUUUUGGGUUGCUGUUGCCACGAAGCAGUGGCACAAACACACCAUAACCAAGGCAGCAGCAGCUGCCAAACAGUGCCCUGAUGCAGGAGAUGCCUCCAUGACUUGCCCCUAAUUCAUUCACAGUCUUGGCCUUAUUUGAUUCUCGUUGAAAUAUUAGAGUUUUGGCUGAUUAUACCAGGGUACCAGUCCCCUUGGGUAGCUCCUUCCACAGGUCCUGAGCUGUGAAGCAGCCAUGAGGUUUCGCUUGGUUGUGGAAACAGCAGCAAAGGUGCCUUUUAAUACAGUCUACUGCAAAGUAUAUGAGUCAGGAAAGUUUCCAUUCUCAUGGCUGCUAGACUGGAUGGAGCGAGCUCUCAGCGUGGUAAACCACACUGGGGAGCUGGAAAGCUGCUACCAAGCCUCUCUGGAUGCUGCCAACCAAGAAAGUACAGAGGUUUAUUCAAAUCUGUGUCUCUUCCAGGAGCCUUUCCCUGCACUGGCACUGCUGGGGAAACCAAAGCAGGAUUUUUGCUUUCAUUGGAGCUUGAGUUUUCUCUUUGCGUGACUUGACCAUUUGUUAAUAAACCCAGCACUCACCCUGCUCCCUCCUCUGCCCAAAUCCAUUUCAGCAAGCCAGGAACUGGCUUUAUUCCCUGUGCAGCCGAGUGCUCCCUUUGACUAUAUGCUCUUUUUUCCUUUAUUCCUAGCUGCAAAGAGAAGGGGGAUUGUUGUCCAGAAAGCAAGUAUUAUAAGAAAAUAAAGCCCUCAAAUCCCUUAAAGACAAGCUUUGCUGUCACAUCUUGGGGCUUGCUAUCCAGACUGUCAUUCCCCAUUCUUACCAGGAGUAGCAGAAAAUGUACAAAAAUUAAAGCUCCCAAUAGAUCUCGGCACCAAAGGUGUUUAAGGAAUUGUGGCCCCACGACUGCAAAGCUGCAAGUGGCAGCUGCACACCUAGUAUGAACGAUUUGCAAGAUCAUUCUCUCUUCUACCUUUUUAUACCUUAAUUUUCCAUACUUUGCAGCUCAGGCACUCAUUUUUGGCUGUCAGAGGGAUCCUGAGCCCCUCUGCCAGGGUUACCAGCAGAGGGUUGGAAGGAGUUACAGAGGAGCCUGGCAGAGGAGGCUGGGGGCGUGAGAGAAGAGCAGAGCCCCCGCAGGGACCAGGCACAAGGGGAUGCUGGCUUCUUUGAUGCUGCAUACCCUGAGCCAGCUCCGGGGAAGUAAUUACACUGCAACCAGGGCUGUGCUAUCCCAGGA
This 3342-nucleotide long non-coding RNA is filed under the name Anas zonorhyncha (Eastern spot-billed duck). Its description in RNAcentral is "lncRNA (ENSAZOG00000003481.1)". Lineage: Eukaryota; Metazoa; Chordata; Aves; Anseriformes; Anatidae. The record is from RNAcentral.